This 648-nucleotide ribosomal RNA is filed under the name uncultured Acidovorax sp. RNAcentral describes it as "bacterial SSU rRNA". It matches the Rfam family "Bacterial small subunit ribosomal RNA", at positions 31 to 680 of the family's 1533-position model. The record is from RNAcentral. Lineage: Bacteria; Pseudomonadati; Pseudomonadota; Betaproteobacteria; Burkholderiales; Comamonadaceae.
UGACCUGGCGGAUGUUACACAUGCAGUCGAACGGCAGCACGGACUUCGGUCUGGUGGCGAGUGGCGAACGGGUGAGUAAUACAUCGGAACGUGCCCAGUCGUGGGGGAUAACGUAGCGAAAAUUACGCUAAUACCGCAUACGAUCUAAGGAUGAAAGCGGGGGAUCGCAAGACCUCGCGCGAUUGGAGCGGCCGAUGGCAGAUUAGGUAGUUGGUAGGGUAAAGGCCUACCAAGCCGACGAUCUGUAGCUGGUCUGAGAGGACGACCAGCCACACUGGGACUGAGACACGGCCCAGACUCCUACGGGAGGCAGCAGUGGGGAAUUUUGGACAAUGGGCGAAAGCCUGAUCCAGCCAUUCCGCGUGCAGGAUGAAGGCCCUCGGGUUGUAAACUGCUUUUGUACGGAACGAAAAGGUCCUGGUUAAUACCUGGGGCUCAUGACGGUACCGUAAGAAUAAGCACCGGCUAACUACGUGCCAGCAGCCGCGGUAAUACGUAGGGUGCAAGCGUUAAUCGGAAUUACUGGGCGUAAAGCGUGCGCAGGCGGUGAUGUAAGACAGAGGUGAAAUCCCCGGGCUCAACCUGGGAACUGCCUUUGUGACUGCAUCGCUGAGUACGGCAGAGGGGGAUGGAAUUCCGCGUGUAGCA